RNAcentral lists this non-coding RNA (32 nucleotides) under Homo sapiens (human). Lineage: Eukaryota; Metazoa; Chordata; Mammalia; Primates; Hominidae. The record is from RNAcentral.
AUUCCUGAACACUGUACUGCAAGUGGAUAGGA